Ribosomal RNA from Arthrobacter sp., 3128 nucleotides. It matches the Rfam family "Bacterial large subunit ribosomal RNA". NCBI's taxonomy places the organism in Bacteria, Bacillati, Actinomycetota, Actinomycetes, Micrococcales, Micrococcaceae. The record is from Rfam.
UUGUAAGUUUUUAAGGGCGCAUGGUGGAUGCCUUGGCAUUAGGAGCCGAAGAAGGACGUAGGAAUCUGCGAUAAGCCUCGGGGAGUUGAUAACCGAACUUUGAUCCGAGGAUGUCCGAAUGGGGAAACCCCGCUGCCUGUUAUGGGUAGUGACCCGCAGCUGAACACAUAGGCUGUGUGGGGGGAACGUGGGGAAGUGAAACAUCUCAGUACCCACAGGAAGAGAAAACAAUAGUGAUUCCGUUAGUAGUGGCGAGCGAACGCGGAUCAGGCUAAACCGUGUCUGUGUGAUACCCGGUAGGGGUUGCAGGUACGGGGUUGUGGGACGCAUUGUCCUGGUUCUACCGGGCCAGGGGGGUGAGUGUGCAGGUAUAGGUGAACGGCUUUGAAUGGUCGGCCAGAGAGGGUGGGAGUCCCGUAACUGAAAUAUUUUGCACCGCUCUAUGUGUGUUUCCCAAGUAGCACGGGGCCCGAGAAAUCCCGUGUGAAUCUGUCAGGACCACCUGAUAAGCCUAAAUACUUCCUAAUGACCGAUAGCGGACUAGUACCGUGAGGGAAAGGUGAAAAGUACCCCGGGAGGGGAGUGAAAUAGUACCUGAAACCAUGUGCUUACAAUCCGUCAGAGCUAGCUUGUUCUAGUGAUGGCGUGCCUUUUGAAGAAUGAGCCUGCGAGUUAGUGCUCAGUGGCGAGGUUAACCCGUGUGGGGCAGCCGUAGCGAAAGCGAGUCUGAAUAGGGCGUUUGAGUCGCUGGGUCUAGACCCGAAGCGGAGUGAUCUACCCAUGGCCAGGUUGAAGCGACGGUAAGACGUCGUGGAGGACCGAACCCACUUCAGUUGAAAAUGGAGGGGAUGAGCUGUGGGUAGGGGUGAAAGGCCAAUCAAACUCCGUGAUAGCUGGUUCUCCCCGAAAUGCAUUUAGGUGCAGCGUUACGUGUUUCUUACUGGAGGUAGAGCUACUGGAUGGCUAAUGGGCCCUACAAGGUUACUGACGUCAGCCAAACUCCGAAUGCCGGUAAGUGAGAGCGUAGCAGUGAGACUGUGGGGGAUAAGCUUCAUAGUCGAGAGGGAAACAGCCCAGACCACCAACUAAGGCCCCUAAGCGUGUGCUAAGUGGGAAAGGAUGUGGGAUUGCUCAGACAACCAGGAGGUUGGCUUAGAAGCAGCCACCCUUGAAAGAGUGCGUAAUAGCUCACUGGUCAAGUGAUUCCGCGCCGACAAUGUAGCGGGGCUCAAGUACACCGCCGAAGUUGUGGCAUUCAUAUUAGUGGUAAGCCUUCGUGGUUCAGCCGUAUGGAUGGGUAGGGGAGCGUCGUGUGGGCAGUGAAGUCGCGGUGUAAACCAGCGGUGGAGCCUACACGAGUGAGAAUGCAGGCAUGAGUAGCGAAUGACGGGUGAGAAACCCGUCCGCCGAAUGAUCAAGGGUUCCAGGGUCAAGCUAAUCUGCCCUGGGUAAGUCGGGACCUAAGGCGAGGCCGACAGGCGUAGUCGAUGGACAACGGGUUGAUAUUCCCGUACCGGCGAAAAACCGCCCAAGCUAAUCCAGUGAUGUUCAUUGCCCGAGCCCGGGCCUGUUACACCCUUCGGGGUGUUUGGUUUCGGGGGAGCGUGGUGUUCUUUGAUCUGGUGCGGUUAGCGUAUUAACAGGUGUGACGCAGGAAGGUAGCCGAGCCGGGCGAUGGUUGUCCCGGUCUAAGCAGGUAGGCCGUUUCCUAGGCAAAUCCGGGAAACAUGUGGCUGAGACGUGAUGGGACCCCCGUAGGGGGGAAUUCGGUGAUCCUAUGCUGCCAAGAAAAGCAUCGACGCGAGGUUUUAGCCGCCCGUACCCCAAACCGACACAGGUGAUCAGGUAGAGAAUACUAAGGCGAUCGAGAGAAUUAUGGUUAAGGAACUCGGCAAAAUGCCCCCGUAACUUCGGGAGAAGGGGGGCCCGGACUGUGAUGAGGACUUUGCUCCUCGGAGCGGGUAAGGGCCGCAGAGACCAGGGGGAAGCGACUGUUUACUAAAAACACAGGUCCGUGCGAAGUCGCAAGACGAUGUAUACGGACUGACUCCUGCCCGGUGCUGGAAGGUUAAGAGGACCGGUUAGCUCUUCGGAGCGAAGCUGAGAAUUUAAGCCCCAGUAAACGGCGGUGGUAACUAUAACCAUCCUAAGGUAGCGAAAUUCCUUGUCGGGUAAGUUCCGACCUGCACGAAUGGAGUAACGACUUCCCCGCUGUCUCAACCAUAAACUCGGCGAAAUUGCAGUACGAGUAAAGAUGCUCGUUACGCGCAGCAGGACGGAAAGACCCCGAGACCUUUACUAUAGUUUGGUAUUGGUGUUCUAAGUGGUUUGUGUAGGAUAGGUGGGAGACUUUGAAGCCAUGACGCCAGUUAUGGUGGAGUCAUCGUUGAAAUACCACUCUGAUCACUUGGGAUUCCUAACUUCGGCCCGUAAUCCGGGUCAGGGACAGUGCCUGAUGGGUAGUUUAACUGGGGCGGUUGCCUCCUAAAAAGUAACGGAGGCGCCCAAAGGUUCCCUCAGCCUGGUUGGCAAUCAGGUUUCGAGUGUAAGUGCACAAGGGAGCUUGACUGUGAGAGAGACAUCUCGAGCAGGGACGAAAGUCGGGACUAGUGAUCCGGCGGCACAUUGUGGAAUGGCCGUCGCUCAACGGAUAAAAGGUACCUCGGGGAUAACAGGCUGAUCUUGCCCAAGAGUCCAUAUCGACGGCAUGGUUUGGCACCUCGAUGUCGGCUCGUCGCAUCCUGGGGCUGGAGUAGGUCCCAAGGGUUGGGCUGUUCGCCCAUUAAAGCGGUACGCGAGCUGGGUUUAGAACGUCGUGAGACAGUUCGGUCCCUAUCCGCUGCGCGCGCAGGAAAUUUGAGAAGAGCUGUCCUUAGUACGAGAGGACCGGGACGGACGAACCUCUGGUAUGCCAGUUGUACCGCCAGGUGCACCGCUGGUUAGCUACGUUCGGAAGGGAUAACCGCUGAAAGCAUCUAAGCGGGAAGCCCACUUCGAGAUGAGAUUUCCAUACACAUUUUUGUGUGAGAGGCCCCCAGCUAGACCACUGGGUUGAUAGGCCGGAUGUGGAAGCGAGGACUAACGACUCGUGAAGCUGACCGGUACUAAUAGGCCGAUAACCUACAACA